UAAAGACAAGACUGAAUUCUUUGUAUCAAUAUAUAGCAACGAUAUCUGCGUUAGCUGGGAGAGAGCCAAAGUCGGAAGAGUACAUAGGAAGCGAUUGCGACCUCUUAAUCUUUAGAAACGAAAGUGGAUCCCAAGAAGACGCCAAAACCCUCUCGGCUGAUGAUUGCUGAGAAAGGUGGGGAACCGCUUUUUAACAUCAAUCCAGACAGGAAUCAUGUCGAUAUCAGCAGUGAAUUGGGAUUCGAACCCAGGCGAUGGCCUAAAAGGGAGCACCCAGCUUAAAUAAUCAAAAUUGGUUUACAGCACUCGACCAAGCCUAUGUCACUUUGAAAUUACAAAAUAUGCAAUGCAUUCAUAACUCCUCCAAUUUAUGUUUUUUUUUUCGGAAUAUUUUAAACUUUGUACUCGCAUAGUCAAUGUUAUUCUACAUUACUUCGCAAGAUAGGAAAAGAACAAACUUCGUCACUUUGGAAGUACAUAAAAUGCUGUUCUUUAACUUUUAAUUUAUAUUGCUUGUUAUGUAACUCUGAUUCCCAACACUUGUAAAAAGGAACCACAAAA
This is a long non-coding RNA of Stomoxys calcitrans (stable fly), 561 nucleotides long. RefSeq lists it as uncharacterized. NCBI's taxonomy places the organism in Eukaryota, Metazoa, Arthropoda, Insecta, Diptera, Muscidae. The record is from RefSeq and is a predicted model, not a curated record. The transcript is spliced from 3 exons.